AACGAACGCUGGCGGCAUGCCUAACACAUGCAAGUCGAACGAGACCUUCGGGUCUAGUGGCGCACGGGUGCGUAACGCGUGGGAACCUGCCCUUAGGUUCGGAAUAACUCCCCGAAAGGGGUGCAAUACCGGAUAAUGUCUUCGGACCAAAGAUUUAUCGCCUUUGGAUGGGCCCGCGUUGGAUUAGCUAGUUGGUAGGUUAAAAGCCUACCAAGGCGACGAUCCAUAGCUGGUCUGAGAGGAUGAUCAGCCACACUGGGACUGAGACACGGCCCAGACUCCUACGGGAGGCAGCAGUGGGGAAUAUUGGACAAUGGGCGAAAGCCUGAUCCAGCAAUGCCGCGUGAGUGAUGAAGGCCUUAGGGUUGUAAAGCUCUUUUACCCGGGAUGAUAAUGACAGUACCGGGAGAAUAAGCUCCGGCUAACUCCGUG
Molecule: ribosomal RNA, 432 nt
Filed under: uncultured bacterium
Lineage: Bacteria
Description: partial 16S ribosomal RNA
Rfam family: Bacterial small subunit ribosomal RNA
Source: RNAcentral